This 253-nucleotide ribosomal RNA is filed under the name uncultured bacterium. RNAcentral describes it as "partial 16S ribosomal RNA". It matches the Rfam family "Bacterial small subunit ribosomal RNA", at positions 524 to 776 of the family's 1533-position model. The record is from RNAcentral.
UACGUAGGUGGCAAGCGUUGUCCGGAUUUAUUGGGUUUAAAGGGUGCGUAGGCGGCUUUGUAAGUCAGUGGUGAAAUAUGGCAGCUCAACUGUCAAGGUGCCAUUGAUACUGCAGAGCUUGAGUGCAGAUGAGGUAGGCGGAAUUGACGGUGUAGCGGUGAAAUGCUUAGAUAUCGUCAAGAACACCUAUAGCGAAGGCAGCUUACUAGGCUGUAACUGACGCUGAGGCACGAAAGUGUGGGGAUCAAACAGG